Molecule: long non-coding RNA, 4570 nt
Filed under: Sus scrofa (pig)
Lineage: Eukaryota; Metazoa; Chordata; Mammalia; Artiodactyla; Suidae
Description: lncRNA (ENSSSCG00035075459.1)
Source: RNAcentral
UUUUUUUUUUUUUAUUUCAGUCUGACACUCUUCCUUUUCUUUGGAACUUUUAGUCUAUGUAAACUUAAUGCCAAAAGAAUCAUUUGGAAGAAACUGGGAAAUAUGCAUAAGCAAGGACAGGAAAGGUAAGACAGGCAUAUCAUGAGACGAGAGUUUGUAGAACUGAAUUUCUGGGGUAGAAUGAACAUUUUGGAGUGUGGAAACAUACAUGAAGAUGUCUGGUUCCUUCUAUCCUGACAGGCACAUAGCAGACAAUAAGCGAAUAUCUGUACAAAAAACAGUUGCUAAUUGAAAUGAGAAUGAACGUAUGAACAAAGAGAAUGUUGAAUAGAUUUGAUAGAGGUUAAAAAAGUGAGUCAAAUAAAUUUGAUUCAAUGUGAGAAGGAGUUUCGCAGAUUGUUGAGCAUGAGAAAUGUUUCUGGAUAAUAGUAAUUUAAUUGGAAAACCCAGUUCCUGCAACACCUGGGAUGCUCUUUCUCUUAAUGUUCACACGCCUCUGCAAUAAGUAGCUCUAACCACACAGGCACACUUCUCCAAAUACUGCUUUCUUCUUCUAAUUUAUUUGGAGAAAAGGACACAGACCGAUUGCCAGGCGCCAGGCUUUUCUGCACUUUGCUGGCACCACUCUGAAUUCUAAGCUCUUCUCACUUUACAGCAAUUUGAGAUCUAUGGUGAUUUCUGCACAUCACCACCAACUCGACAUUACCAUAUAUAAUUGCCUGGUCUGGAAGAAUUUGGGGAAAACAAUAGAAUUAUAAAACAGGCAAGAAGGAAUAUCAGAAUUAAUGCCAGAUAUGCAUUGUAUGGAAAUUCAUGAGCUAUUGCUCACCACACAAAAUUUUCUAUGGCAGUUCCUUUCUUUAGGCCCUGUUUUAGAGCGUCUCCCAGAGACUUUUCAUAUCUCUUUCUGUCCUAGAUCCCUCACCCUCCUUCGCUCCCUUGGUUUACUGAAACUGGCAUGAUUGCUCUUUCUAUUAUGCAGAGCAAAGACUUGCUCUCUUUGCUUCACCCUUUUCUAUUUGUGAUAUACAGUUUCAUUAUUGAAACAAUAGUUCCAUCAUCUCAGAAUUUGAAUUCCCUCACUCUUCUAGAGGGCAGAUAUCACUACACUUGGUUUGCUUUUGCAGCAUUCUUUUAAAAAUGCCUCCUUAUGAUAUAGUAAAAGACUUUUUGCAAACUUACUGUAACGUGAUGUGCAAGAUACUUUGAAAGGGUGAUGGGCUUUAUAAAGAACAUAGAUUUAUGGUUUAAACUACAAUUCCUUCAUGGUAUGAUGGGAAGAAUUCAGCCAUCUUACUCAUUAAAUGGGAUAAUGGGCUUGUUAGGAGGACUUAAAGGAGAGAUAGAGUCUGAUACAUAGUGACUCUAGGCAAGUGGUAGCUCUGUUUUUUUUUUUUAGGAUCAGGGAGCUGGUAAACUAUUACAGUCAUUCAGGUGUGAAUAACUAGACCUCCUACCAGGGGGAGAGCAGAGUGAUAGAAGUGAAAAGAAUAAGUGAUGAUGCAGUUUUGGGGGAGAAAUAGCAGAAGUCUGUGGGGGAGAGGGAAUAAAAAAAAGGAGAGAGUGUUAUAUCAAGGGAGAAUGGGAGUCUCACUCACAGGGCAGUACAUGUUCCCAUAUAGACUCUAUUUCAUCUUUGAAUUAAGAAAAGGAAGAGAUUGGUGUAUCUGUUAGGCAUGGUUGUGGAGGGAGAAUGAUUUGGGUAGUGCAGAAAGACUAUGGAAAAAUACAGCAAGUGGACUAGAGAAAUGAAAGCACUUUAAAAGCAAAUGUGCACCAUCACAGGCGUAGUGAUUGGUGAGGUGAGUGGAGAGGGAUAGUGAGGCUGUAAAUCCUCCUGGAGUGACGGAUUCAUAUUCUGAGUUACAAGAUGAUCGGCAGGGCAAAUCGGCCAAUACUUUCCCAUGUUGACCUGCUCAGUCUCCCGAACUUAUUACUGGUCCAUUUUUUUUUUUUUAAGUUUUUAUGUAAUGAUUUUUGUUAUUUUCAUUAGAGCUGGUUUACAGUGUUCUGUCAAUUUCCUACUGUACAGCAGGGUGACCCAGUUACACAUGCAUGUACACAUUCAUUUUUCUCACAUUAUAAUGCUCCAUCAUAAGUGACCAGACAUAGUUCCCAGAGCUACACGGCAGAAUCUUAUUACUUAACCAUUCCAAAGGCAAUAGUCUGCAUCUAUUAACCCCAAGUUCCCAAUCUAUCCCACUUCCUUCCCCUCAGCAACCACAAGUCUUUUCUCCAAGUCCAUGAUUUUCUUUUCUGUGGAGUGGUCCAUUGUAAAUAUCUCUCAGAUUGAGUUUUUCCUGCACAUUUCUUUGUUUAGAAGGUUCAUUGUCAUCAUCAAACUGCGUGAGUUAUGAAAAAGUCUCUUAAUCAUUCUCUCCUAACUCCCAGUAGGAAUCGCUCCCUUUCACAGUCUUUGCUGUGUACUGUGUUGAUCCCUCAUCAUAAAGCUCUGUUAUCAUCCUGUCAUUUGUUAUGAUGAGUCACACCCAGGACUUGGGUGGCAACAGUGAACCAGGGCCAGGAAGCCAAGGAAGACCAUGAUAAUAUCUUGAAACAAUGAACAUGGUAUGGGUGCCUCAAAGGUGUUUGCUACAUGUAGGUGUAGGGCUGAGGAUUUCUUACAUGCUCUUGACUUUUAAACAUCCUGCUCACCAAUGAUGACUUGAAAAUUGCCAUUUGGUUUGGUUUCUAUUCAUCUUACAUAAAAGGGCUAAUUUAAGAAAUGUGAACAGACUUGUGGUUGCCAAGGGAGAGGGGGAGGGAUGGGGAGAGAUGGGGAGAGAUUGGGAGUUUGGGGUUCAUAGAUGCAAGCUAUUGCUUUUGGAAUGGAUUAGCAAUGAGAUCCUGCUGUGUAGCACUGAGAACUCUGUCUAAAUACUUACAACACAGCAUGACAAUACAUGCGAGCUCUUGCCUCUGAAAUGGAUAAGUGAGAUCCUGCUGUAUAGCACUGGGAACUAUAUCUAGUCACUUAUGAUGGAGCAUGAUAAUGUGAGAAAAAGAAUGUAUAUAUGUAUGGGGUAACUGGGUCUCCUUUCUAUACAGUAGAAAAUUGACAGAAGACGGUAAACCAGCUAUAAUGGAAAAAAUAAAUAUCACUAUAAAAUAAAAAAAGAAAUGUGGAGGACAAAAAAGCACAGAAUAGAAAUAAGGACAGAAUAUUAAUAUUGUACUAGUAAAAUAUCACUGCGUCUAAAAUAAAAUAAGAACACAAAGGUUUUAAGUUGCUUAGGAUCAAAUCAGGAAAAAUUUUUCUGUCAAUUAUAUUUGGAAAAACCUCUAAAUAGGUGAGAAGAAUUUGAAGAUUGUUUUAUAUAUAAGUGCCUAUGUUCACAAUCUAUUUAGAAAAAUACCAAACAAUAAUUAGAACAGUAUGCAUAGCUGUCUAAAGCCAGGUUUGUCUCCCUCUCUCUCAAAGUGCUAAGUAUUUUCAGUAUUCAUUCAUGGAGGAGAGUUAUGUGUUUUGUGAAAAUAAUACAUGACUACAGUGGCCCUGAAUUUAAGUUAAAUUUUUUUUGCAUCUUCCUUUGACAAAUGAUUAAAAUUAAAAUAUUUUAUAUAUUUUAUAAAUGAUUUAUAGCUAAUAUUUCCCUUGAGAAUGUAUUCUUGCAAUGAAAUGAUGACUGGCUUGGAAAUUAGUUCAAGGCACCUUCACUGAUCUUGCUGAGUACCAUUUCAUUCCUCAUCUAUAAAUUAAAUCAGCUAAAAUAUUUAGAGGUAAAUUACUAUUAAAUUGUGGUUCAUUAGCUACUGAAUCACGAACAGUUCACUAUAUGGCUUCCAAAUAGUUGCUAUCUUGUAAUACUAUUUGUUCUCCAAAGAACUAGAGCUGACUCAGCUUGGAGGUGUUCACAAAUGAUCUUUUAAAUCAGCUACUCCUCUGUAAUUUUUAUUCCUCUAUAUUAGAAAGCUUGCAACAUACUGCCAAAAUUUCACUAAUGAUGCUCGAGAGAUAAUGAGUUGUAUGGGUUUCUAGAUAAUUAUAUAAAUGACCUUUAGUCUGACGUUCCACUGUGUAUUCCACACUCAUAUCCCACAAUUGCAUAGAGAUAUAUUUUUUUUUAAUUUUGCCAUCUCACAACUUAAUGGCAUACUAAAUUUUCAUCAACAUGUAAGCAGACUCUCUUUUAUGCUGUAUAUCACAUGGGUAUUAUAGGAAAAAGUAAAAUUAUCUUGCAAGUAGCAUAUCGUAAUGUUCUGAAAAAAUUAGAGCCUGUUAAUUAAAACAGACUACCUCAAAGCAGAUAUAUCUUUUUCCCUUUUCAAUUCAUUUCAUAGCUUCUAUUUUUCUAAUUUCUGGUUUAUUUCCUUUAUAGCACUUACUAUUCUCUGACAGUAUCUUGUCUGUUCAUUGCCUUUUUGUCUGGCUUUCUCACUGGAAUGUAGCAUUUGUGAGCAAAGAGAACUUCUAUCUUGUUUCAUGCUCUAUCAGCAUUGUGUAGAACAAUGCUUGUCACAUCAUAGACUUUUAGGAAAUUGUUAUUGGACAUCUUCUGGCCACACCUGUGGCAUAUGGAGGUUCCCAGAUUAGGAGUCAGAUUCAGAGCUGUAGCUACUGUCCUCUGCC